This 492-nucleotide ribosomal RNA is filed under the name uncultured bacterium. RNAcentral's name for it is "partial 16S ribosomal RNA". It matches the Rfam family "Bacterial small subunit ribosomal RNA", at positions 29 to 507 of the family's 1533-position model. The record is from RNAcentral.
AGUGAACGCUGGCGGUAGGCCUAACACAUGCAAGUCGAACGGCAGCACAGUAAGAGCUUGCUCUUACGGGUGGCGAGUGGCGGACGGGUGAGGAAUAUAUCGGAAUCUACUUUUUCGUGGGGGAUAACGUAGGGAAACUUACGCUAAUACCGCAUACGUCCUACGGGUGAAAGCAGGGGAUCUUCGGACUUUGUGCGAUUGUAUGAGCCGAUGUCGGAUUAGCUAGUUGGCUGGGUAAAGGCCCACCAAGGCGACGAUCCGUAGCGGGUCUGAGAGGGUGAUCAGCCACACUGGAACUGAGACACGGUCCAGACUCCUACGGGAGGCAGCAGUGGGGAAUAUUGGACAAUGGGCGCAAGCCUGAUCCAGCCAUACCGCGUGGGUGAAGAAGGCCUUCGGGUUGUAAAGCCCUUUUGUUGGGAAAGAAAAGCAGCAGGUUAAUACCCCGCUAUUCUGACGGUACCCAAAGAAUAAGCACCGGCUAACUUCGUG